Molecule: long non-coding RNA, 580 nt
Filed under: Mytilus galloprovincialis (Mediterranean mussel)
Lineage: Eukaryota; Metazoa; Mollusca; Bivalvia; Mytilida; Mytilidae
Source: RNAcentral
GCUCUUUUGGAAUAUCUUUUUAAUUCUUGUUAUAUAUAAAAUGUUACUUGAACUAUUUGAAAUGAUUUUAAUUACAUUUUGAAAUUGUAGUUUGUGUGUUAAUUGAGAUAUUGAAAUAUAAUUUCAUGCAAAUCGGAGAACUAUAUUAUGCGAACGAACCGGACUGUGGAAAUUCUCGAACUUCCGGGAAUUAUCCAUGUCGAAAAAUAUAAGACAACAUGUUUACCGUUACACAGAUCAUUUUUAAAGCAACACACAAAGAAGAUAAUAAUUAAAUAGUUCAAAAUGUAUGGAAUAGUUGAAAACAGAAUUUGGAAUUUAUUUAAACAAUACAAUAGUGUGAAUUGUGUUUCUGAUAACCAAGAACAAUCUGGCUGGAUAUUUUGCGGAGUAAGUCGUAAUUCUGAUCCCAGCUCACAAGAAAUUGUAAGAACACUUAUUGACAGUUCUUUAAAGGAGUAUUACUUUGCCAACAAUCCUUUGUCAGACGGUUGGAACCAUUAUUCAACAAAGAUUGCAAGAGAAGCCGCCGGAUAAGUAGUUUCAUUUAAAAUUAUGCCAUAUGGGAAACGAUUUGACC